RNAcentral lists this ribosomal RNA (640 nucleotides) under uncultured bacterium. RNAcentral describes it as "bacterial SSU rRNA". It matches the Rfam family "Bacterial small subunit ribosomal RNA", at positions 202 to 842 of the family's 1533-position model. The record is from RNAcentral.
GAAGGAUUCAUCGGAAGAGGAUGGGCAUGCGGCGCAUUAGCUAGACGGCGGGGUAACGGCCCACCGUGGCGACGAUGCGUAGGGGUUCUGAGAGGAAGGUCCCCCACACUGGUACUGAGACACGGACCAGACUCCUACGGGAGGCAGCAGUGAGGAAUAUUGGUCAAUGGGAGAGAUCCUGAACCAGCCAAGCCGCGUGAGGGAAGACGGCCCUAUGGGUUGUAAACCUCUUUUGUCGGAGAACAAAACCCGGGACGUGUCCCGGACUGCGUGUAUCCGAAGAAAAAGCAUCGGCUAACUCCGUGCCAGCAGCCGCGGUAAUACGGAGGAUGCGAGCGUUAUCCGGAUUUAUUGGGUUUAAAGGGUGCGUAGGCGGUCCGUUAAGUCAGCGGUAAAAUUGCGGGGCUCAACCCCGUCGAGCCGUUGAAACUGGCAGACUUGAGUUGGCGAGAAGUACGCGGAAUGCGCGGUGUAGCGGUGAAAUGCAUAGAUAUCGCGCAGAACUCCGAUUGCGAAGGCAGCGUACCGGCGCCAGACUGACGCUGAGGCACGAAAGCGUGGGGAUCGAACAGGAUUAGAUACCCUGGUAGUCCACGCAGUAAACGAUGAAUGCUGGUUGUCCGGGUCGAAUGAGAUCUGG